This 187-nucleotide ribosomal RNA is filed under the name uncultured rumen bacterium. Its description in RNAcentral is "partial 16S ribosomal RNA". It matches the Rfam family "Bacterial small subunit ribosomal RNA", at positions 340 to 524 of the family's 1533-position model. The record is from RNAcentral.
UACGGGAGGCAGCAGUGAGGAAUAUUGGUCAAUGGACGAGAGUCUGAACCAGCCAAGUAGCGUGCAGGAUGACGGCCCUAUGGGUUGUAAACUGCUUUUAUACAGGGAUAAAGUGCGCCACGUGUGGCGUUUUGUAGGUACUGUAUGAAUAAGGACCGGCUAAUUCCGUGCCAGCAGCCGCGGUAAU